RNAcentral lists this ribosomal RNA (587 nucleotides) under uncultured Alphaproteobacteria bacterium. Its description in RNAcentral is "bacterial SSU rRNA". It matches the Rfam family "Bacterial small subunit ribosomal RNA", at positions 65 to 637 of the family's 1533-position model. Lineage: Bacteria; Pseudomonadati; Pseudomonadota; Alphaproteobacteria. The record is from RNAcentral.
AGCGCGCCCUUCGGGGUGAGCGGCGGACGGGUUAGUAACGCGUGGGAACGUGCCCUUCUCUAAGGAAUAGCCACUGGAAACGGUGAGUAAUACCUUAUACGCCCCCCAAUCAAAUUCCAUUUGGUUGACGGAAAUUCCGUUGAAUGCCGGAUGGCAUUUGAUGGGGGGGAAAGAUUUAUCGGAGAAAGAUCGGACCGCGUUAGAUUAGAUAGUUGGUGGGGUAAUGGCCUACCAAGUCUACGAUCUAUAGCUGGUUUUAGACGAUGAUCAGCAACACUGGGACUGAGAACACGGACCAGACUCCUACGGGAGGCAGCAGUAGGGAAUCUUGGACAAUGGGGCGCAAGCCUGAUCCAGCCAUGCCGCGUGAGUGAAGAAGAGCUUAGGGUCGUAAAACUCUUUCGACCUGGUGAUGAUAAUGACAGUAGCCAGGUAAAGAAACCCCGGCGUAACUCCAGGACCAGCAGCCGCGGUAAUACAGAAGGGGUUAGCGUUGUUCGGAAUUACUGAGGCGGUAAAGCGCGCGUAUGCGGAUUGGAAAGUUAAGGUGAAAUCCCGGGCUCAACCCGGAAAGGCUUUAAACUCCC